GAUGAACGCUGGCGGCGUGCUUAACACAUGCAAGUCGAACGAAGCACUUUGAUCGAUUUCUUCGGAUUGAAAUUUUAGUGACUGAGUGGCGGACGGGUGAGUAACGCGUGGGUAACCUGCCUCACACAGGGGGAUAACAGUUGGAAACGACUGCUAAUACCGCAUAAGCGCACGGUAUCGCAUGAUACAGUGUGAAAAACUCCGGUGGUAUAAGAUGGACCCGCGUCUGAUUAGCUAGUUGGUGAGGUAACGGCCCACCAAGGCGACGAUCAGUAGCCGGCCUGAGAGGGUGAACGGCCACAUUGGGACUGAGACACGGCCCAAACUCCUACGGGAGGCAGCAGUGGGGAAUAUUGCACAAUGGGGGAAACCCUGAUGCAGCGACGCCGCGUGAGUGAUGAAGUAUUUCGGUAUGUAAAACUCUAUCAGCAGGGAAGAUAAUGACGGUACCUGACUAAGAAGCACCGGCUAAAUACGUGCCAGCAGCCG
Molecule: ribosomal RNA, 489 nt
Filed under: uncultured bacterium
Lineage: Bacteria
Description: bacterial SSU rRNA
Rfam family: Bacterial small subunit ribosomal RNA
Source: RNAcentral